This 31-nucleotide non-coding RNA is filed under the name Homo sapiens (human). Lineage: Eukaryota; Metazoa; Chordata; Mammalia; Primates; Hominidae. The record is from RNAcentral.
UAAAGUUUAAAACAACGACAACAACAGGAGC